This is a long non-coding RNA of Girardinichthys multiradiatus, 566 nucleotides long. RefSeq lists it as uncharacterized. The transcript has 2 exons. The record is from RefSeq and is a predicted model, not a curated record. NCBI's taxonomy places the organism in Eukaryota, Metazoa, Chordata, Actinopteri, Cyprinodontiformes, Goodeidae.
UUAGCUCCUCUCCCAGUUCGUUGGUCCACACUCCACUUCCCUCAGUAUUUAAGCUCUCUGGUUUUCCAUUGUUUGCCACGGGUUCCUCCUGUUUGUCUCCCGAGUCCAUGCUCUUCAUUUUCCUGCUUAUGACCUGAGUUUCUGUAUCUGGUCAAAAUAAGGAACCAGUCAUGUGGACCCAGCAGACAUCAUUUCAGAGGAGAAAUGUACCGAACUCUUCUUAUGUGCGGUCGCCUAGGCAGACAGACCCUGGGAGCGUUUGGCAGCAGAAUGCCUUUUCUCCAGCUAUGAUGAUGGUUUCUCAUUUUCCUCCUCUUGAGUUUGAGGAGGCAUAUGAGCAUCUCACCUCCAUUACAGCCUAUGUCUCAACCACCUCCACCACCGGCAAGUUUCCAGUACAGCCAGCAGCCUCAUAAAUUCCACCUUGUAACAGAGGGUGCUUGAGGAAAAUGUAUGACCAUCUGUAAAACAAAUGAAGUUGAAUCAAAACUGCACCCUGCAACUUGACAAUGAUCCAAAACAGUAGGUCCACCAAGGACUGGCUGAGAAUAAAAAAAUGAAAGCUA